GACGAACGCUGGCGGCGUGCUCAACACAUGCAAGUCGAACGGAAAGGCCCUGCUUUUGUGGGGUGCUCGAGUGGCGAACGGGUGAGUAACACGUGAGUAACCUGCCCUUGACUUUGGGAUAACUUCAGGAAACUGGGGCUAAUACCGGAUAGGAGCUCCUGCUGCAUGGUGGGGGUUGGAAAGUUUCGGCGGUUGGGGAUGGACUCGCGGCUUAUCAGCUUGUUGGUGGGGUAGUGGCUUACCAAGGCUUUGACGGGUAGCCGGCCUGAGAGGGUGACCGGCCACAUUGGGACUGAGAUACGGCCCAGACUCCUACGGGAGGCAGCAGUGGGGAAUAUUGCACAAUGGGCGGAAGCCUGAUGCAGCAACGCCGCGUGCGGGAUAACGGCCUUCGGGUUGUAAACCGCUUUCGCCUGUGACGAAGCGUGAGUGACGGUAAUGGGUAAAGAAGCACCGGCUAACUACGUG
Molecule: ribosomal RNA, 468 nt
Filed under: uncultured bacterium
Lineage: Bacteria
Description: partial 16S ribosomal RNA
Rfam family: Bacterial small subunit ribosomal RNA
Source: RNAcentral